This is a long non-coding RNA of Chenopodium quinoa (quinoa), 809 nucleotides long. RefSeq lists it as uncharacterized. The transcript is spliced from 2 exons. Lineage: Eukaryota; Viridiplantae; Streptophyta; Magnoliopsida; Caryophyllales; Amaranthaceae. The record is from RefSeq and is a predicted model, not a curated record.
CUCGGCAAAAAGGAAAAUCCAAACCCUAAUUUCAUUUCCUCAAAAAACCUAUACCCCCACCGCCUCUCUCUCCUCUCUCUCUCACUAUCUUUUCACCUCAGGCCGAAAAUUCGACCAAUAUCUUCAUCGGCGAUGCCGAAAUCACUCAUCCAAACCUCUUCAUCAGCCACCACGUCAUCACUUUCCGUCGCCUUAACGAAAUCAUUCAUCCAAAGCUCUUCGACGCCGAAAUCCGACUCCGAUUAAGUGGCUACAGCUUCCUCGCUCUCGCAAUCCCUAACCAAAUGCUGAAGUUCGUUGAUCCCGAGUCUCUGCCGCCGUUGACAGUGCUUCCGACGCUUGAAUCCGGCGAAAAUCUCACCAUCACAACUCCAGACGGUUGCUCGCGGCUUCACUCUCUCGCUCUCACAGUCGCUCCACCAAAGCAAGUCACUCGUUAGUGACAUUACGUCGUCGUUGUCACGCUGGUCAACCGCCUACUCUUCCUAUCAUUCCAUUCAAGGUCUUUCCCUCGAUUUGUACAUAUUCUUCAGAAGACAUUGAUGAAAUGCGAGAUUUGUGGAUUAAAUAUGUUCUUGAUUGAAGAAGAUUCAUGAUAAAUGAGCUUAAUGAUGAAUGAGCUGAGCUUGAGUACGAGAUUAGCUUAGUGUUAAUCAUUAUACUUGUGAAUUUAGCUCCACUUUUGAACUUUUUUUUUUAGGAAAAGCUCUACUUCUGAGUUUUGUUUUUGAAUAUUAGAAUUAAUGUAAAUUUUGAGUUAAAAUCUGUUGGAGAAAAUUAGUUUUUGUAUUAAAGCUUUUAUAUUUAUA